Lolium rigidum is the source of this 2165-nucleotide RNA transcript. RefSeq lists it as uncharacterized. The record is from RefSeq and is a predicted model, not a curated record. NCBI's taxonomy places the organism in Eukaryota, Viridiplantae, Streptophyta, Magnoliopsida, Poales, Poaceae. The transcript is spliced from 6 exons.
CCGAGCUCCGCCAUGGAGUUCCAUGGCCCGCCGCUGAUGGAGACGGCGGCGAGGUGGCCUUCACCGAUCUCCUCAACGCCAGCGACAUCUAGGCGGAGGGGAUACGAGCAGCGCGUGGAUCUGGGCAACCUCCAAGGAUAGCGAGGCAGAGAGGGAAGGAUGAGGAGCUCCGAAAUGGCCCCACAACAGCAGAGUUGAAGCAUUAAGGUCUACAACAAAUACAGGCUCUUUUCUGUAUCACAAGAGAAGCUUAUCCGUAUUCCGGAAACGUCGGUUCUACUUUCUUAUGUGACCUCCAUCUCUCCAGCUAUGGAGCUAAUUUAAUAGGCCUCAAUUAAAUAACGAGGGAAGGUGAUUUCAAACAGUACCCCACUGUAAGAGUUUCAUUGGAUCAGAGUUUAUUUCAGUAUAACCAUGGAUAUGAGAUUAUUUUCUGUAUUUGUUAUUUGCAGUGACUUUCCCUAUGUUAUUCUUGAAUGUGGCUACAGAGGAGCUGAAGAUGCGAUAUGUCAUGUCGCUGCAAGAUAGCUGUUUCGUCUUCAGAUUUUCUGUCAGUGUAAUUAUUGGGUAUGACAGGCUAGCAACUAAAUCUCUGUAUGAAAGGGAAUCUGACACCCAUAAACCCGCAGGUUUGGACUGUUUCUCUAACUGCGACACUCGCCCGCCUCCAUCUCCAGUCGCCCAUGCACACAACCAGUCGACAAUUCAUCCAAGCAAGUGAUUCCAUAAAUUUCAAAUCUAGGAUGAGGCAUAUAAUAAUGCUCAGUAUUCAGGCAUAUGAAACUGCAUCUUACGCAUGUGAGCCAUUCAAAGCUGAUACAAGGUGAGCCACGCAAAACUGGAAUGUCUCUUUCGUUUGCUGAUACAUUCACUAAACUGGUGAUAAGCUUUCCUCAUACAAGUGGUAAUGUAAGGUAAACCUGAUUUAGAUACAUCACUUCUGAGGUAUUUUUUCUUAAAUAACAUGAGACAACAACCUUAGAAUUUAGUCUAGACAUUACUUUUGAUUCACUUCCAAUAUUUUUGGAUUAUUUUCUUUCACAAAUGGAAGUGCGUGCCAAUUCCUUUUAAUUAAUACAUAUUGUCUCUACAUGGUAGAACGGUAUUUAUUUUUGGAAUAUAUACUGUUCUUCGUGCUCUUGAUUCCAGCAAAUUUUUCCUUCCUUUUAGUUUGUUUUGCGCAUCUUUCCUUAUAGGUUUGUACUUUGUCUCGGAAGUUGUCUGGUUUAAGUUACCAUCAAAAGUUAUUAUCAAUCCUCCAUUUCCCCUUAAUCAUGUAUGAUUAUAGCCUUUCGCAUGUGGCACUGAAGAUGAUGGUUUAUAAACCUUAUGGAUCGACAAUUAUAUGUAAUUGUGUUUCUGUAAGCCAGGGCUUCUAAAUGAUCUGGCGCAAACAAUAAUUUUUUUUUCAACCGGAUGUUUGGUUUAUUGUACAUUUAUAAUAUUUUCUCAUUCUUUUUUUUUCUUAGAAAAGGUUCUCAGUUUUUAUAAACUAUGGAUCAACAGUUAUUUAUGUGUUUCUGUACAUCGGGCUUCUAGAUGAUCUUCCCUAGAGAAUAAUUUUUGUUCCAGCUUGAUGUUUAGUUAAUUGUGCAUUUAUAAUAGUUUUUCAUCCUUUUUAGUAAAUGUUCUCAAUAUUUCGGCUGAAUGUUUGGUGUUGGCCUGUGGGGAUGAAAGCAGUUGGGACAGGGUUGAGAACUAGGAGGAACUUGUUUUUUAGUAUUUCUCAGAUAUGUCCAUAUCUCGGCCAUUUCUUCUUAAAUGUAUGUUGGUCCUUCUACAUUAAAAUCACUAUUCACUAUUAUUACUGACACCACCACCUAUGAGAUAUGUCGGUUUGCAGGAGCUUCCUCUUCAUUCACCUAGGUGGCGACAAAGUUCAUUUCCAAUGAUUUAUGUAGCGUAUUGUUAUACGUUUGGUAUUUAUCUGAGAAGUUACGGUUUCAAAUUUUUACUUGGGUUUUCAUGCCUCAAAAUUAAGUUUAGAGAAGGAAUUUGACACCAUUGUAUACUAUUUAGUUGAUACCUACGAGAAAAGGAAUUUGGCACCUUUGGUAUGCAACAUGUAAUGAAUUUACAUGUUUACUGUUUAGUUGAAAGCUUAGUAUUAUCAAUCCUAAUAGAAUACACUUAGUCCUAUUUCUUCUAAUUAUACUUAUGAUAUU